AACGCCAGGGAAUUACGAGCAAUGCUUAAAACCCAAAGGAUUUGACGGUAUCCCAUCCACCUAGAGGAGCCUGUUCUAUAAUCGAUAACCCCCGCUAUACCCAACCACUCCUAGCUUAUCAGCCUGUAUACCUCCGUCGAAAGCCUACCAUGUGAAUGUUCUUAGUAAGCUUAAUGUCCCCGUCAAAACGUCAGGUCAAGGUGCAGCUCAUGGAAUGGAAAGCAAUGGGCUACAAUUUCUAACUUAGAACAUACGAAAAACCAGGUGAAACCCUGGUCAUGAAGGCGGAUUUAGCAGUAAAAAGAAAAUAGAGUGUUCUUUUUAACCCGGCCCUGGGAUGUGUACACACCGCCCGUCACCCUCUUCAACUGUAAUUAACACUGUUUUAUAACUCUCCCCCCCCACAUUCUAGAAGAGGCAAGUCGUAACAUGGUAAGUGUACUGGAAAGUGCACUUGGCUAACAA
RNAcentral lists this ribosomal RNA (465 nucleotides) under Sanguirana luzonensis (Luzon frog). Its description in RNAcentral is "partial 12S ribosomal RNA". It matches the Rfam family "Bacterial small subunit ribosomal RNA", at positions 868 to 1533 of the family's 1533-position model. The record is from RNAcentral. Lineage: Eukaryota; Metazoa; Chordata; Amphibia; Anura; Ranidae.